This 253-nucleotide ribosomal RNA is filed under the name uncultured bacterium. RNAcentral's name for it is "partial 16S ribosomal RNA". It matches the Rfam family "Bacterial small subunit ribosomal RNA", at positions 524 to 776 of the family's 1533-position model. The record is from RNAcentral.
UACGGGGGGGGCAAGCGUUGUUCGGAAUUACUGGGCGUAAAGGGCUCGUAGGCGGCCAACUAAGUCAGAUGUGAAAUCCCCAGGCUCAACCUGGGAACUGCAUCUGAUACUGGAUGGCUUGAAUUCGGGAGAGGGAUGCAGAAUUCCAGGUGUAGCGGUGAAAUGCGUAGAUAUCCGGAGGAACACCAGUGGCGAAGGCGGCUUCCUGGACCGACACUGACGCUGAGGCGCGAAAGCUAGGGGAGCAAACGGG